This 266-nucleotide ribosomal RNA is filed under the name uncultured Staphylococcus sp. RNAcentral's name for it is "partial 16S ribosomal RNA". It matches the Rfam family "Bacterial small subunit ribosomal RNA", at positions 96 to 356 of the family's 1533-position model. The record is from RNAcentral. Lineage: Bacteria; Bacillati; Bacillota; Bacilli; Caryophanales; Staphylococcaceae.
CGGCGGACGGGUGAGUAACACGUGGGUAACCUACCUAUAAGACUGGGAUAACUUCGGGAAACCGGAGCUAAUACCGGAUAAUAUUCGAACCGCAUGGUUCGAUAGUGAAAGAUGGUUUUGCUAUCACUUAUAGAUGGACCUGCGCCGUAUUAGCUAGUUGGUAAGGUAACGGCUUACCAAGGCGACGAUACGUAGCCGACCUGAGAGGGUGAUCGGCCACACUGGAACUGAGACACGGUCCAGACUCCUACGGGGAGGCAGCAGCG